AUGGAGGCCUUAAUAAAGGUAGUUGCGUUACUAGCUAAGGAAUGGGGAGCUUCUGUGAAGCCGAAGGAUAUUACACUAUGUGUAGAGCGGCUCCAGAAAGAAGGAGCCAUAAABAGGCCGGGGGACUGCUUGCAGCUGGAAUUCUGGCCGCGAUGCACUAUGGUGCUGGCGGAGCGAGCUAUGUCCACAAACACGGCCAAAGAUCUCAASACGUGGGGAAUUAUACUCCGUCUUCUGAAGCGGUCGCGGGAGGAAAUGGAGACUUGGAAGGCCGCCCACAACACGUUGUUUCAUCAGGAGGAGGCUGAGACGGAAACGGAGGAGAAGUCUAGCGAUGGGGGGGUGAAAGAACGGGAGAGCGGGGGYGGGGAGGCCCCAGCAAAAGAACGGGAGAGUGGGGGCAGGGAGGUCCCAAUGGUCCUACCGGUGGAAUCCCAGGAACCGCCCCCGGUGUACCCCUGGCAAGAUCUCGCACAAGCCGGAGAGGGCUGGGGGGUCCACGGGACCGACCCCGAGGAUUGCGUGCCUGGCGCAGUUUUGAGGAAGGCGCUUAGUGAAGAAGAUAAGACCCUGCUGCCGUGGGCCCCGGCAGAGGAGGGUGCUGUAGGCAGGGAGAGUCAGGCAGUGCAGCGAAGGAGGAAGGGUAACGGCCAAUCGGAGUGGAGAGACCAGAGUACGACCUUGAAAGGAGGAAGGAAAGUCCGAGUGAGAUCGCCAGUUAAGGAGGAGAGCAGAGAAGAUAGUGACGAGGAAGGCGGGGGCUUGCGGGAAGUUACGCGCAGGCUGCGGGGGUGUGUAUUAGGAGAAACGCAACCGAAAGGGAGGCCGAAGGGCGGAGAGGAAGUAACAACAGCCCCGGUCGACACCCUACUGCAUGUAUUAGAGGAAAUAAGGCGGGAGGUCGAGGAAAUAAGGCGGGAGGUCGAGAAACAGAAGGACCUGCUCAGCGGAGCUAAAAGGGAAGCGGCCCCUGCCAUGUCCAUACCGCUCACUGACUGGCGGCUAAUAACUAAUUCGUGUGCCCAUUAA
RNAcentral lists this long non-coding RNA (1029 nucleotides) under Apteryx haastii (Great spotted kiwi). RNAcentral describes it as "lncRNA (ENSAHAG00000006164.1)". Lineage: Eukaryota; Metazoa; Chordata; Aves; Apterygiformes; Apterygidae. The record is from RNAcentral.